CAACCCGGGAUUGCCUUAGUAACGGCGAGUGAAGCGGCAAAAGCUCAAAUUUGAAAUCUGGUACCUUCGGUGCCCGAGUUGUAAUUUGGAGAGGGCAACUUUGGGGCCGUUCCUUGUCUAUGUUCCUUGGAACAGGACGUCAUAGAGGGUGAGAAUCCCGUGUGGCGAGGAGUGCGGUUCUUUGUAAAGUGCCUUCGAAGAGUCGAGUUGUUUGGGAAUGCAGCUCUAAGUGGGUGGUAAAUUCCAUCUAAAGCUAAAUAUUGGCGAGAGACCGAUAGCGAACAAGUACAGUGAUGGAAAGAUGAAAAGAACUUUGAAAAGAGAGUGAAAAAGUACGUGAAAUUGUUGAAAGGGAAGGGCAUUUGAUCAGACAUGGUGUUUUGUGCCCUCUGCUCCUUGUGGGUAGGGGAAUCUCGCAUUUCACUGGGCCAGCAUCAGUUUUGGUGGCAGGAUAAAUCCAUAGGAAUGUAGCUUGCCUCGGUAAGUAUUAUAGCCUGUGGGAAUACUGCCAGCUGGGACUGAGGACUGCGACGUAAGUCAAGGAUGCUGGCAUAAUGGUUAUAUGCCGCCCGUCUUGACMCCGGGAACCAA
This 591-nucleotide ribosomal RNA is filed under the name Saccharomyces cerevisiae (brewer's yeast). RNAcentral's name for it is "LSU rRNA". It matches the Rfam family "Eukaryotic large subunit ribosomal RNA", at positions 66 to 664 of the family's 3401-position model. Lineage: Eukaryota; Fungi; Ascomycota; Saccharomycetes; Saccharomycetales; Saccharomycetaceae. The record is from RNAcentral.